Molecule: long non-coding RNA, 613 nt
Filed under: Capsicum annuum
Lineage: Eukaryota; Viridiplantae; Streptophyta; Magnoliopsida; Solanales; Solanaceae
Description: long non-coding RNA (CANN_LNC000209)
Source: RNAcentral
UUCAGUAGACAACACAGACUAAAACAUGAAAUGUAAAGAUAGGAAGUGAGACAUACACUAUAAUUAAGAUCCAAGAACCCAUAGACAUAUUCCAUCUAAGGACCCCUAGAACUUACAAUAGCAAUACCACACUCUUACGAAGACAUGAGAGGGAUUCCACCGCUCAAGCAUCAACGUUUUCAAGCAAUACACAUUCACAAGUGUUUCCACACUUGCCAUGCUCUAUUUUUCAGCCUAGAGAGCCUUCUCUCAAGUGUUCUUACAUCAAUAUUCAGCAACCAAAUGAAAUAAACCCUAACAUGUUCUAUUUAUAAACUUAUUACAAUAAUAAGCAAAAAUGACAAAAGUGCCCCUUAAUGUUAAAUGAACAUAAUGGCUCCCAUGGAGUGCAAUAGAGGGACGACUUUUGAGCCCUUUUCACACUCCAACUCGUACACUCCGUAGGUUGCAUUCAACACACUAAAAACGUCCAUCUUCAUGAUUGUACCCGUAUCAUCCUCUCCAUCUUGAGAGGAAUUUGACCUCAAAUUCAUGACACAAACCAAAUAAAAAUAGUUCCAAAACAGCCCACAAAAUAAGAAGAAACCGAGAACAUAACAACUUCAUUUUGCAC